Molecule: ribosomal RNA, 253 nt
Filed under: uncultured bacterium
Lineage: Bacteria
Description: partial 16S ribosomal RNA
Rfam family: Bacterial small subunit ribosomal RNA
Source: RNAcentral
UACGAGGGGGGCUAGCGUUGCUCGGAAUCACUGGGCGUAAAGCGCACGUAGGCGGCUUUUUAAGUCAGGGGUGAAAUCCUGGAGCUCAACUCCAGAACUGCCUUUGAUACUGAGAAGCUGGAGUCCGGGAGAGGUGAGUGGAACUGCGAGUGUAGAGGUGAAAUUCGUAGAUAUUCGCAAGAACACCAGUGGCGAAGGCGGCUCACUGGCCCGGUACUGACGCUGAGGUGCGAAAGCGUGGGGAGCAAACAGG